Molecule: transfer RNA, 72 nt
Filed under: Phrynosoma platyrhinos (Desert horned lizard)
Lineage: Eukaryota; Metazoa; Chordata; Lepidosauria; Squamata; Phrynosomatidae
Description: tRNA-OTHER
Rfam family: tRNA (bases 9-72)
About the family: Transfer RNA (tRNA) molecules are approximately 80 nucleotides in length. Their secondary structure includes four short double-helical elements and three loops (D, anti-codon, and T loops). Further hydrogen bonds mediate the characteristic L-shaped molecular structure. tRNAs have two regions of fundamental functional importance: the anti-codon, which is responsible for specific mRNA codon recognition, and the 3' end, to which the tRNAs corresponding amino acid is attached (by aminoacyl-tRNA synthetases). tRNAs cope with the degeneracy of the genetic code in two manners: having more than one tRNA (with a specific anti-codon) for a particular amino acid; and 'wobble' base-pairing, i.e. permitting non-standard base-pairing at the 3rd anti-codon position.
Source: RNAcentral
GCCAGUGUGGCCUAGUGGUUUGAGCAUUAGACUAUGACUCUGGAAACCAGGGUUCAAUUUCCAGCUUGGCCA